AACGAACGCUGGCGGCAUGCCUAACACAUGCAAGUCGAACGAGACCUUCGGGUCUAGUGGCGCACGGGUGCGUAACGCGUGGGAAUCUACCCUUGGGUUCGGAAUAACUCAGAGAAAUUUGAGCUAAUACCGGAUGAUGUCGCAAGACCAAAGAUUUAUCGCCCAAGGAUGAGCCCGCGUAGGAUUAGCUUGUUGGUGAGGUAAAAGCUCACCAAGGCGACGAUCCUUAGCUGGUCUGAGAGGAUGAUCAGCCACACUGGGACUGAGACACGGCCCAGACUCCUACGGGAGGCAGCAGUAGGGAAUAUUGGUCAAUGGAUGCAAGUCUGAACCAGCCAUGCCGCGUGCAGGAAGAAGGCCUUCUGGUUGUAAACUGCUUUUGCCAGGGGAUAAAAUUUCCAUGCGUGGAAACUGAAGGUACCUGGUGAAUAAGCCACGGCUAACUACGUGCCAGCAGCCGCGGUAAU
RNAcentral lists this ribosomal RNA (467 nucleotides) under uncultured bacterium. Its description in RNAcentral is "bacterial SSU rRNA". It matches the Rfam family "Bacterial small subunit ribosomal RNA", at positions 29 to 524 of the family's 1533-position model. The record is from RNAcentral.